CCGGGCGACUGGGCUUGGUUAUCAUCUGGGGUUCUCCCCAGGGCACUUUUCCAGUCCAGGCCAGCAUCAGUUUUCCCCGGGGGAUAAAGGCGGCGGGAAUGUGGCUCUCUUCGGGGAGGGUUAUACCCCACCGUGUAAUACCCUGGGGGGGACUGAAGUUCGCGCAUCUGCAAGGAUGCUGGCGUAAUGGUCAUCAACGACCCGUCUUGAAACACGGACCAAGGAGACA
This 229-nucleotide ribosomal RNA is filed under the name uncultured fungus. RNAcentral describes it as "partial 28S ribosomal RNA". Lineage: Eukaryota; Fungi. The record is from RNAcentral.